UCCUUUUUUGUCUUUUAGAUCCUUUGAACUCUUUCAAGCUAUGUUUCAAGACUUUCUGGGCUUUGACGGGGCUGGGCAUUCACUGUAAAAGCAGUCAAUGCCUCAGUGAGACCACAAGCAAAACUCUACAUCCCCUCAUGACCACCUGUGUACCUCAGAUGCAGUGAUGAAGAUGAGACAAAAUGGAUUUGGUCAUCUUGGGUCACCCAGUGUGCUUUCAGCAGAGGCAAAGAGGAUAUUGUUGCCAUCAAUUACCUCUUCACUGACUUCAGUUAGACUGUAGAGAAAUUUACUUUGAUGCAUGACAAUCAAGCGCUGUCUGU
Molecule: long non-coding RNA, 323 nt
Filed under: Chinchilla lanigera (long-tailed chinchilla)
Lineage: Eukaryota; Metazoa; Chordata; Mammalia; Rodentia; Chinchillidae
Description: lncRNA (ENSCLAG00000024418.1)
Source: RNAcentral